AUGCAAGCAACUAAACUCAAAGAAAUCAUUUCGAUAAAGAAAGUUAAAAGUCUUGCCAACUUACAACUAAGAAAGCUACACCAACAAUAUUAAAAGAAAAAGAAUGAGGAAAAAGAUUAAAAGGACAUAAAGGGUACAAUCUGAAAUCACAGGCAUAUAUAAUAGAGUGUAAAAGUGACGUACGUGCAUAAUUUAUAGCUAGCCUUGUAAUUGAACUAUUCUUAAAUUCUA
RNAcentral lists this unclassified non-coding RNA (231 nucleotides) under Hevea brasiliensis (rubber tree). Lineage: Eukaryota; Viridiplantae; Streptophyta; Magnoliopsida; Malpighiales; Euphorbiaceae. The record is from RNAcentral.